AGCAGCCGCGGUAAUUCCAGCUCCAAUAGCGUAUAUUAAAGUUGUUGCAGUUAAAAAGCUCGUAGUUGAAUUUCGGGGUCGGUAGGUUGGUCAUGCCUCUGGUAUGCACUGGUCUCACUGAUUCCUCCUUCCUGAUGAGCCGUAAUGCCAUUAAUUUGGUGUUGCGAGGAAUCUGGACUGUUACCUUGAAAAAAUUAGAGUGUUUAAAGCAAGCUAACGCUUGAAUACAUUAGCAUGGAAUAAUGGAAUAGGACGUUCGAUCCUAUUUUGUUGGUUUCUAGGAUUGACGUAAUGAUUAAUAGGGAUAGUUGGGGGCAUUAGUAUUCAAUUGUCAGAGGUGAAAUUCUUGGAUUUAUUGAAGACUAACUACUGCGAAAGCAUUUGCCAAGGAUGUUUUCAUUAAUCAAGAACGAAAGUUAGGGGAUCGAAGACGAUCAGAUACCGUCGUAGUCUUAACCAUAAACUAUGCCGACUAGGGAUCGGAUGAUGUUAAUUUUUUAAUGACUCAUUCGGCGCCUUACG
This 522-nucleotide ribosomal RNA is filed under the name uncultured Glomus. RNAcentral describes it as "SSU rRNA". It matches the Rfam family "Eukaryotic small subunit ribosomal RNA", at positions 569 to 1092 of the family's 1831-position model. The record is from RNAcentral. Lineage: Eukaryota; Fungi; Glomeromycota; Glomeromycetes; Glomerales; Glomeraceae.